Molecule: long non-coding RNA, 288 nt
Organism: Callithrix jacchus (white-tufted-ear marmoset)
Lineage: Eukaryota; Metazoa; Chordata; Mammalia; Primates; Cebidae
Source: RefSeq, a predicted model, not a curated record
CAUCUCUCCUUCUCCACACUUUCCUGACACACAGCUUCUAAAACACUUGGAAUCUCCAAAACGGCUCAUAGCUGGAAGGAGCUUGCCUUGAGUCUCAAAUAAGACUUUGGACUUGAAACGUUUGAGUUUUUGCUGUAACAGUUACUUUAGAUUUUCAAGGAGCUCAUCUGGAGUGACCGUGCAGGUCACAGAGGUUAACAUGGCAUUCAUGGGGCAGUCAGUUGGCCUAAAAGACCUUACAUACUGCUUGUCUACUAUGCUGUGAUGUAGCCCACCACCCUAACUAAA